UUGCCCUCUUAAGUCUGCCGGUGUCUUAAGUGGCCAGUAUGGAGGGGUAUAAUAGUUCUCUCUCAAACCCAGAGGUGAGGCUGAAACUCUUCUUUGGAUCAUACUGAGAGGAACACAU
Molecule: small nucleolar RNA, 118 nt
Organism: Chrysolophus pictus (golden pheasant)
Lineage: Eukaryota; Metazoa; Chordata; Aves; Galliformes; Phasianidae
Source: Ensembl